Long non-coding RNA from Betta splendens (Siamese fighting fish), 1740 nucleotides. RefSeq lists it as uncharacterized. The record is from RefSeq and is a predicted model, not a curated record. Lineage: Eukaryota; Metazoa; Chordata; Actinopteri; Anabantiformes; Osphronemidae. The transcript has 2 exons.
CAGGGACGCUGUUUGACCUCCAGCGGUCGUCACCGCCUGCGGUGAAAACCACCACCUCCUCGUCUUGAAGUGACAGCUCCGGCCUGGAAUUACAUGUUGGACGUGUCCUUGACGAACUCACUCAUCCUGACAUCAACAGCAGAUGCGUAAAAGAAGGAAAGCAUCAAAAUAACAAAGCUGAAUAAGAUAAGUGAGCUGUUGGCUGUAAUUCCAUUGUGGUGACAACACUGUGCACCAUUAGGGACAAAGAAGCACUUACUGAUGUGUGACUGUCGUCUGCUCCAUGACUGGAAGCAACUGGCAUCCAGAGGGGGGUGAGGCGCGGAGAUGAGAGAGCGGAGGGCGAGCAGGAAGUCAGCAGCAACGAGGAGGUGGAGGGGGGAGGAGUGACACUUCCCCAGCGAGCGGGCGUGUGUGGAGGCUGAUAAAGCAGCAGCCGGGCGGCCGGGCCAGAAGCUGCGUGACCAAGAUAAGUCGAGUUGUCUUCUGUCUCCACUUUACCGCGUCCCGCUAUAACGCAGCCAGCGGAGGGAAGGCAGAUACACAUCAGGCUUUGGGAAUACGAUCAGAUGUGAAUUAGUGCAUAUGUUCAAUCUAGUCAGAGCCGGCAGCUGUUUUAUAAAUAAUUCACGUGUCUAAUAAAUAACAAUGAUAUUCACAAGGAAUAAAAGUCACACACUCAUUGGACGUGUUGAAGUAUCAGUUAGUUUGACUCAUGACAUUCAGUCACAUUCAUAGUUUGCCCUUAUUAAAGCGACAUACAGUAAAUGUUAGACUCACCCUUAAGGCAGCAGCACAGACUUGGAGUCAAGAAGUGAAAGACGCAUUUCAGAACCAGGCAAACACCAGCGGUUCAUGCAUUCGUGCAUUUCCUGUGCUCUGGCGCUGACCUUUAGGUUUCAGCAUUGGGGGAAAGAGGUGAGGGGAGCGGUACGUGCCAGAAGCACACGUAGUGAAACCGUCUGCAGACAGGCUCAAAACAAACCCAAACAUUUAGUUUAGCUCCUUUUCAGUGUUUUGUGGUAGUAAUAAACAGUAAAUGAAGCUUAUUUAUUUGCUCCUCGUAGGUUCACCUGCCACUUGAACCUGCAAUUCAAACCUCCAGCAGAUCCAGGAUCAGGGCGGCCAUUCGCCCCGACCGGCGAGGUGUCAGCGAAGACGCAAAAGAACAAAAGACAACACAAAGAGCAGCAGCAACAAGAGGCAGAUAAUAGGACGGACAAGUCGGCGCAGCCUGUAAGUGCAGAGAAAACACGGGCUCCAAGGCUGAGCACAGCUGCAGAAAGACAGAGAGCGAGACAGCAGGAGCAAAACUACAGGAGAAGGAGGAAGCCGAGGCGUCGCGGAGGCUCACAGGGUCCUCGUUGUCGGUACGACGGGGCCAAAAGCUUAUGACUUCCCCAAACCAUGACACAUUCCUGGUAUGUGUUUUACUCUUGUGUGGAACACCUGCCUUAUGAGAAAUAAAGCAGCACAGAGGAGAAAAACAACAGUGAGGCGCUGAAUAUUUCACAAGUUUUAUUUUAUUUCUGGAAAAGCAGUGGGGGAAGCAGCAGCCAUGGCUACGCUGUGGAUGCUGCUUUCCUCAGCUAGAAAACAGGGAAGCUGUCUGACAAGCUGACGCGAGGGAAGGACACGUCUCCACUCAAACCAACACAGCAGACGCGUUAGCAUCUAUACGGAAAACAAUAGAAUGACGAGGAUGCAAAGGAGGUUGGCCUUCGACCAAAAAAAAAUGCU